RNAcentral lists this ribosomal RNA (431 nucleotides) under bacterium enrichment culture clone ALO1_GLFRUDD03F4OS1. Its description in RNAcentral is "bacterial SSU rRNA". It matches the Rfam family "Bacterial small subunit ribosomal RNA", at positions 9 to 439 of the family's 1533-position model. The record is from RNAcentral.
GAGUUUGAUCCUGGCUCAGAUUGAACGCUGGCGGCACGCCUUACACAUGCAAGUCGAACGGCAGCACGGGAGCUUGCUCCUGGUGGCGAGUGGCGAACGGGUGAGUAAUGCAUCGGAACGUAUCCUGGAGUGGGGGAUAACGUAGCGAAAGUUACGCUAAUACCGCAUAUUCUGUGAGCAGGUAAGCGGGGGACCUUCGGGCCUCGCGCUCUUGGAGCGGCCGAUGUCGGAUUAGCUAGUUGGUGAGGUAAAGGCUCACCAGGGCGACGAUCCGUAGCAGGUCUGAGAGGAUGAUCUGCCACACUGGAACUGAGACACGGUCCAGACUCCUACGGGAGGCAGCAGUGGGGAAUUUUGGACAAUGGGGGCAACCCUGAUCCAGCCAUGCCGCGUGAGUGAAGAAGGCCUUCGGUUGUAAGUACGUCUUUCGU